Molecule: ribosomal RNA, 660 nt
Filed under: Hansenula anomala
Lineage: Eukaryota; Fungi; Ascomycota; Saccharomycetes; Phaffomycetales; Wickerhamomycetaceae
Description: eukaryotic LSU rRNA
Rfam family: Eukaryotic large subunit ribosomal RNA (bases 75-660)
Source: RNAcentral
UUCCAACUCGUUAUAUCAGCUAGGCAGGUUUAGAAGUAUUUUAGGCUCGGCUUAACAACAAUAAACUAAAAGUUUGACCUCAAAUCAGGUAGGACUACCCGCUGAACUUAAGCAUAUCAAUAAGCGGAGGAAAAGAAACCAACAGGGAUUGCCUCAGUAACGGCGAGUGAAGCGGCAAAAGCUCAAAUUUGAAAUCUAGCACCUUCGGUGUUCGAGUUGUAAUUUGAAGAUGGUAACCUUGGGUUUGGCUCUUGUCUAUGUUCCUUGGAACAGGACGUCAUAGAGGGUGAGAAUCCCGUCUGAUGAGAUGCCCAUUCCUAUGUAAGGUGCUAUCGAAGAGUCGAGUUGUUUGGGAAUGCAGCUCUAAGUGGGUGGUAAAUUCCAUCUAAAGCUAAAUAUUGGCGAGAGACCGAUAGCGAACAAGUACAGUGAUGGAAAGAUGAAAAGAACUUUGAAAAGAGAGUGAAAAAGUACGUGAAAUUGUUGAAAGGGAAGGGCAUUAGAUCAGACUUGGUGUUUUACGAUUAUCUUCUCUUCUUGAGUUGUGCACUCGUAUUUCACUGGGCCAGCAUCGAUUCGGAUGGCAAGAUAAUGGCAGUUGAAUGUGGCUUCACUUCGGUGGAGUGUUAUAGCUUCUGCUGAUAUUGCCUGUCUGGAUCG